Molecule: long non-coding RNA, 495 nt
Organism: Mus caroli (Ryukyu mouse)
Lineage: Eukaryota; Metazoa; Chordata; Mammalia; Rodentia; Muridae
Source: RefSeq, a predicted model, not a curated record
UCUGAAACUCAUAUUGCCAGCAAACAUGGGAAACUCAGAUGUCUAGACCUCAGAACCCAGCAACCUCACAUGUGGUGGAGAUCUUCAUCCAUUUCCAACUUCCAGGUUGUUCCUGACCUGGUCACCUUCUUGUAGAAUAUGCCCCAUCUGCUAAAGUAGGAUGCUUAGACAUGCUGGAGGGCUCAAUGCCUCAACAUCAUGGUGGCAUCCUCUGGGCUGUUUCUUCUAUCAUGGCCCAUACCAGUGCAAGACCAAGAGCCAAGUCAGCAGCAGAGGGAAGCCUGACCCUCCUUGAAGCACAUAAGCAGCAGAGUUUCCUGUACAGUUCAGUCAAAGGCCAGUUCUGUUCUGUAAGUCGUUCUGUAAACAUCUUGAAUUCAUAUGCUCAACAUCAUUCACCCUUUAAUUUGUAUAAGGAGGUCUCGAGGGUGAAAGGAAAGCACUCAAGACAAAUGUGUCCUCAGGUAGUAUCCAGCUUAAUGCUUCAAUUAGCAG